RNAcentral lists this long non-coding RNA (436 nucleotides) under Elaeis guineensis (African oil palm). Its description in RNAcentral is "long non-coding RNA (EGUI_LNC072509)". Lineage: Eukaryota; Viridiplantae; Streptophyta; Magnoliopsida; Arecales; Arecaceae. The record is from RNAcentral.
GAGUAUGGCUCAAGCGAUUACAAAAGGAACAUUAAGGGCGAUUACUAGAUCCACGACCCUCUCUACCACCACUACGAUCACGGCCUUGGCCUCCACGGUUAGCCGUGUUAGAGAUAAAGGCUGAAGAUUCUGAGACUGUUUGGAAACCAACUCUGGAUGCUGCCUCCGGAGAAGAGAAAGUAAAGGAAAUAAGGCCCUUCUUCAAAUCUGAUGCGGAAGCCAUGAGAGAAUGAUUUUACUGAACAGAUCCUAUGACGAGAUGAUGAUCAAAAACAGCGGCAGAACAGCGAAAACUAAAACAGGGGCAGGAACGUAAGGAGGGAACAGAGACAGUGUUAUCGGGGCUUGCCGAAAAGAUACACGGCAAAGAGAUCCGAUUGACUAGAAGCUUUUCAACAGAGGAUAGUGGGUCCACCGGAUUUUGACAAAGGCUCUG